RNAcentral lists this ribosomal RNA (496 nucleotides) under uncultured bacterium. RNAcentral describes it as "partial 16S ribosomal RNA". It matches the Rfam family "Bacterial small subunit ribosomal RNA", at positions 28 to 506 of the family's 1533-position model. The record is from RNAcentral.
GAUGAACGCUGGCGGCGUGCCUAAUACAUGCAAGUCGAGCGAACAGACGAGGAGCUUGCUCCUCUGACGUUAGCGGCGGACGGGUGAGUAACACGUGGAUAACCUACCUAUAAGACUGGGAUAACUUCGGGAAACCGGAGCUAAUACCGGAUAACAUGUUGAACCGCAUGGUUCAACAGUGAAAGACGGUCUUGCUGUCACUUAUAGAUGGAUCCGCGCCGCAUUAGCUAGUUGGUAAGGUAACGGCUUACCAAGGCAACGAUGCGUAGCCGACCUGAGAGGGUGAUCGGCCACACUGGAAUUGAGACACGGUCCAGACUCCUACGGGAGGCAGCAGUAGGGAAUCUUCCGCAAUGGGCGAAAGCCUGACGGAGCAACGCCGCGUGAGUGAAGAAGGUCUGCGGAUCGUAAAACUCUGUUAUUAGGGAAGAACAAAUGUGUAAGUAACUAUGCACGUCUUGACGGUACCUAAUCAGAAAGCCACGGCUAACUACGU